CACCUCAAAAUGCCUAAAUAUUCUCACAACUACCACGCGACCCAUCUUCUUUCUUUUUUACGAUCAUUAUCUUUUUGUUUUCCUUUUUUACGAAUCAUUCUUUUUUUCUCCAAUUUUUUACCCAUCACUAACCUAGUAUUUGUCUAAAAAUCCCCACAAAGAAUAUCCCUCCUUCUCGCCACUUCCAGUGUUGUCCGCCGUCACCGUUGAUUCUGAAAGUGCUACUCUUUCCGUCCAUUGUCGCCGCCUCCUUAAUUUUCAGGGCUGCCAUUGCUGCUCUUUGAGAGGACGCUUGUAACAGCGGAAUUGGGCGUGUAUAGACUUUUGAGUGAUUAUGAUCUUUAAGCAGGAGCGUAUUGCAUUUUUUUGUAUCAAUAUGAACAUGAAGAUGGCUGAAAAUAUUGAGGGUGACGAAGAGGUUGAAGUUAAGAAGACAAAUGUGGAAGCGCGAAAGGCAAAAAUGAAAAAAAAUAAUAA
Long non-coding RNA from Mercurialis annua (annual mercury), 477 nucleotides. RefSeq lists it as uncharacterized. The transcript is spliced from 3 exons. The record is from RefSeq and is a predicted model, not a curated record. Lineage: Eukaryota; Viridiplantae; Streptophyta; Magnoliopsida; Malpighiales; Euphorbiaceae.